GGAGCGUGCGCCGGGGAAUGAGACACGAGGUUAGCUGGUUGCUGCUUUGAAAAAGAAGCACGUGGCCAUCCCUAUGAUAUUGGACUCAAGGUUCGAGAUUGAGAUGUCGCCAUCCCCUGCAGUGGGUGGCAAGUACAAAAAAAAAAAGAAGACGGAGGACAAGACGUCCACUGUUUCGC
Ixodes scapularis (black-legged tick) is the source of this 179-nucleotide long non-coding RNA. RefSeq lists it as uncharacterized. The transcript has 3 exons. The record is from RefSeq and is a predicted model, not a curated record. Lineage: Eukaryota; Metazoa; Arthropoda; Arachnida; Ixodida; Ixodidae.